This is a long non-coding RNA of Solanum lycopersicum (tomato), 915 nucleotides long. RefSeq lists it as uncharacterized. Lineage: Eukaryota; Viridiplantae; Streptophyta; Magnoliopsida; Solanales; Solanaceae. The record is from RefSeq and is a predicted model, not a curated record.
AGAAAAAGCUAAUUUUGCGGAGGUUUAAUUAAGGGGGUUGCAAUAACCUCCGUAAAAAUAUAUUAAUUGUGGGGGUUAUCUCAACCCCUUUUAUUUCUUCAGUACAUUGAGGGUUAUAACCCCUAGAUAUUUAUUCCUUAAGAUAAUGCUUAAAGUUCAAUCUUGUUUCCUUUUAGCUCUAGUUUCAUUUUUUCCCCAAAAAAUCGCAGAACCGUUUUAGACUCAGGAGAAAAAUCUAGUCUUUUCUCAUCCUCUCACCGGUCGCUCACUCUUCUCUCGCUCUCAAAUUUCUUUCAAUUUCAAAUUUAUUCAACAUGUAUUAGUUCUUACCAGAAAAUUGUUGGUUGAUUGCUGAGUUUUGCAACUUUUGUUUAGUAGAUAAGAAUAAUCAAUGGUUGAAGAAGCUGAUUUUUUUCAAGUUUGGUUAUAAGCAAAAAUUGCUAAUUUUGAUUUUUUUGGUGCUGUUAAUCGCUGAAUCUAAGUUACAAGCUUUCAUUUGGGAUAAUGCAGCUUCAAUGGCAAGUGGAGUAUACCAUUUCUACAAGCUCUACUGUUAGCUUACUGCUGCAAUUUAGCUUGUAACUGAGUUUGAGUACGAGAAUCUGAUAGCGUCAAGACUAGACUUCACUUCCUGUUACCACUUACCACCAGGUGAUACCAUGAUGAAACCCGCUAAAGUUUCAUGAUAACGUUGCAGAUCCUAUCUUGAGUUUGGAUGCUAGUGAUUUGAAGUUUAAGCAAGUUUUUGUAGUGAUUUGAAGUUUAAGCAAGAUUUGAAGUUUCUUGUAAAUCGUAGUGGUUGAAGUGAAUGACAUUUCAAUUUACUUUGUAAAAUUAUAAUACACUUUAUGAUAUAUUUUUGUAUUGAAAUAUUGUGUUAUUUUUAAUACUAAUAUGUCCUUUUAGGUUUGAUUA